RNAcentral lists this long non-coding RNA (245 nucleotides) under Lathyrus oleraceus (garden pea). RNAcentral's name for it is "Pisum sativum (pea) long non-coding RNA (PSAT_LNC037472)". Lineage: Eukaryota; Viridiplantae; Streptophyta; Magnoliopsida; Fabales; Fabaceae. The record is from RNAcentral.
UCUUUUCGUCCAGUGGGUCUCUUAUACGAAGUAUUUUUUAACUGCGUCCGCAUUCACAGGGGAUGGAAAAUCCUCGCCAUCCAUGGAUUCGCCGGGAUGCCCAUUUUUGCCUGGACUAUUUUAUUCUUUUCGUCCAGUGGGUCUCUUAUACGAAGUAUUUUUUAACUGCGUCCGCAUUCACAGGGGAUGGAAAAUCCUCGCCAUCCAUGGUCGUUAACAACAAGGCUCCUCCAGAGAAAACCUUC